This 532-nucleotide long non-coding RNA is filed under the name Capsella rubella. RNAcentral's name for it is "long non-coding RNA (CRUB_LNC004242)". The record is from RNAcentral. Lineage: Eukaryota; Viridiplantae; Streptophyta; Magnoliopsida; Brassicales; Brassicaceae.
CGGAUUUGUGUGACUUUAAACGAUUAAGUAAUAUCUUUGCAUUAUAAAAUUUAAAACUAUUCUUAAAAAAGUUUCAUUUACAAAUGGAUAGCAUCUAUACUAACAUUUUCGAAGUACCUUUUGGAAAGUAAUAUUUUAUGUUUUCUUCUUGUUCUUUGCCUUAACGCCCAUUCUGGGACGAGUUGGAAGAGGAAUUCCUAAUUCUUACAUGGAUGAGACUGAUCACACCUAAUCAGUGAAAAAAUAUGUCACCAGUCAUUUACAUAUUACACCAAAAAUUGACAAGCGGAUAAGUUUUCUAGUAAUUGACAAACAAACUUCAUUAAUGAUGCAAACUUAAACAGACUUUUUAACAGUACCCUACUCAUCGCUCUCUUGAUCGUCUUCGUCAUAAAUGAUGCAAAAUUAAACAAAAUUUUACAGACCCUACCAAAUGUGAUAUUUGAUUUGACCGUGGGUAAUUUAAAAAUCUCAUCAGCCUUAUCUAAAUCCUCUAUAAAUACAUCAAAUUCGUGGACAAAAUGACUUCAAC